This 4094-nucleotide long non-coding RNA is filed under the name Cricetulus griseus (Chinese hamster). RNAcentral's name for it is "lncRNA (ENSCGRG00015033866.1)". The record is from RNAcentral. Lineage: Eukaryota; Metazoa; Chordata; Mammalia; Rodentia; Cricetidae.
CUUUUCUGAUCUUCAGCUUGAACCCCAAUAUGUGUCCCUGGGUUUUUAUUAUUUAUGUUGUUAGACCCCAGGAAAACUCAAGUAUCCGGGGUCCCAGGCCACGACUGUAGUCACCCCAAUCACCAGGCGGAUUCGAGAGCUUGAUGCAAACUGCACGAGGCUUUAUUGUAAUUUAACGAGCUAACCCCAUGUUAGCUCGGGUCUUUCACCCGACUUCGGUCACCCCAAUCACCAGGCAGAUUCGAGAGCUUGCUGCAAACUGCACGAGGCUUUAUUGUAAUUUAACUAGCUAACCCCAUGCUAGCUCGGGUCUUUCACCCACCCGCCAUGGCGGAUGGCUAGAAAAGACAGCUCGAACCCGCUGUGUACCGAUCUUGUAGGGCAGCCUAAGGGGAGUGUCUAGGGGUAUGCACAGGCUCACGAUUGGUGUGCCUCCAGGCUUGGAGGGCUUGCCCUGUGUUGAUUGGUCAACUGGUUGUUAUGGCCCAUAGGCCCUCCCAGGGUGGUUGCUAUGCUUUGUGCGUCAUUGCUGUGCACUUGUCCGUAAAGCACACCCAGGGUCGUAAAGCAUAGCGCCACCAGCUAACUUCUGAUUGGUUCCUUGUCACAAGGCAGACAUCUGACUUUCUAGUGACUAACUUCUGAUUGGUUCCUUGUCACAAGGCAGGCAUCUGACCUCUAAGUGACCAAGGCAAGUUUAUGGCAAGCAUGUGUUCGGCUGUUAUUGCUGCCGAAAGGGGAGCUGGUCCCUUCACACCGAAGACUAAAGGCACAACAAUGGCAUUUCCUAUCACAUGCCCACUGGGUUCAUUGGUACAGGGAACUACAGACUGGAUGACAGUGGCUUUCCAUUGGUUUAGCCAAGCCAUAGCUCCAAAUGCACCUGGGACAAUCUCUACCAAAGCAGACCAAUAAAGCGUUUGACACUUGGUGUGCAGCACUGCACUAGUGAGUACAGUCUUUUAAGUUCUCAUCAAGGGCUAGGUAUGAUGACACACGCCCACCCCACCCCCCACCUCCCUGCUUUUUUUUUUUAAAUGGUGUUUCGAGACAGGGUUUCUCUGUGUAACAGCCAUAGCCAUCCUGGAACUCACUCUAUAGACCAGGCUGCCUCUGCCUCUUGAGUACGGGGAUUAAGGGCAUGUGCUGCUGCCUCCACCGAUGCCAUCGCCACAACCACCACCCAGCUCAGGUGGCACACACCUUUAAUUCUAGUACUCAGGAGGCAGAGGCCAGUGGAUCUCUGUGAGUUCAAGGCCAGCCUGUUCUAUAGAGUGAGUUCCAGACCAGCCAAGGUUAUAUAGAGACCUGUGUCAACCCUCGCCCACCCCUAAAUUAAGUCCUUAUCAGUAAGGAAAUUCAAAGUUAUUUUGUUCAUGAAUGGGGAAAACAGCAAUGUAGAUUUCUUGCCUUGCCCAGGUGGGUGGUGCUAAUUCUGUCACAAUAUAGCCACAGGGUCCUUGAUCAUGCUGUCAUUCUACAGUGCAUAAUACUAAUUGGAUCAGAACAAAAUAUAAGGUAGAUGAGAGAGAAAUCUCCCUUCCCCUAAAAUUUAGAGCUCUGUCAUAGAGAUGAAAAUAUUGUGAGGAUCCACUGGUCUGAGAUAGGAUACUGUAUCCCAACUAUCCCUUGUUUCUGAGAAAAACACAUAGCAUUGUACACCAUUGAUUCAUCCAUUUUGUGGUUCAAAUACAUAUCAAGGAGAGACUUUGUAGCAGAUCGAUGCUGUGGGCCAAAAUGCCCUGUGUGCAGGAAGGUUAUUCAUGGUAGAUAAAGAUGCCUGCCGUGUGGAGUCUAUUGAAGGUUUGCUAUUAGAAUUUCAGGACAGAGCCAUGGAAACCUAGUGCAAGGGUAUUCCUUUUGUAAUGAAUUACCCUUAGCUACUCAUUGGAAGAAGAGUCAUUUAAAGGACAUUGUGGAAUUGACCAUGAGACAUCAAAUGACUUUGAAGCUGGAGCUGCCUUUCAAGUAUGAUGGAAGGUUACUGGGAGUAGAUCCAAAGAACACAAGGCAAUUAAGUGAACACAUGGCCAGGAUCCCAGUGUCUUCCUCCUCUGCUGUAUCAGAGUCAGUUUCUCAGAUCAUGCCAUCGCCUUUGUAUGAUAAACUGAUGGAGGAAAAAUCUUGUGCCUUGGGGUGAGCUAGAAGGAACCACAGUUACAUCAGUAUGGGCUCCCAAACAGUAGCACGGGAAAAUCUUGUCAAUGACCAGAUCUGUGAAUAGGUGUUGUGGCUCGAGUGUGAAAUGCCACCCACAGGUUCAUCUGUUUCAACUCUUGGCUCUGUAUAAAGGUUGUGGAACCUUUUAGAUGUGGGGUCUCUAAUUGGAAGACAUACAGUUGUAGAGGUUACAGCCAAUCUUGGUCCCAGGCUGAGAUCUCUGCUGUUUGAUCCUCCAAGACAUAGAGGAUGCUAAAGCUUAUGCUACCCUGGACACAGCCCCACUUACCACAUCUUGUUCUUUAUGGAACUAUGAGCCAAAAUAGAUACUUAUUCCCUCCAGUUGCUUCUCAUCAGGUAUUUGUUCACAGAGAUGAGAAAACUAACACAACAGGGUAUUGACCAUUCACUUUGUAUGGGAGAGGAAGAGGCAUGAUGUAGCUAUCUUAGCUUUUCAUUGCCAUAAUGAAGUACUUGACUAGGCUAUGUAGACAAGUAAGGAGACAGACAUGUGGCACAUACCUUUAAUUCCAGCACUCAAGAGGCAGAGGCAGGUAGAUAUCUGGGUUUGAGGCCAGUCUGGUCCACAGAGUGAGUUCCAGGACAAUCCUGUCUUGAAAAACAAACAAACAACAACAAUAACAACAAAAACAAAACAAGGAAAGCAAGGAGGUUUUUGGCUUAUGUCUUAGAGGUUCAAGGCUUUCAUAGGGUCAUUUCUGAGGAACGGCAGAUGGUGGGGAGCAUGAAGGAACAAGUGAUUGCAAACUUGUGCCUGCAGUAGGGGAGCAUGGAGUGGGGGAGCACACUUGCUUCUUUCAUGGCAACUUUCUCAGGAACUUCAGAGAGUCAGAAUAUUAUGGCCAUAGUGACCACCCACUAGGCAUCUGCUUUUAGAGAUCCCAUUACUCCUGAUAGCACCAUCCCAGGGGUCCUGCCUUCCUCACCUGGACCUCUGGAUGACUCUAUCUCCAGUUAUAGUGCAUCAAAAACACAUGCAAAGAGCAGGAUAGGGAAUCUGGGGACAAAGAGGCCUGAGUGAGAAGUACUUGGAUGAACUUAUGUGCCUUGGCACAAGAUGUGGUAUCUUUGUGUCUCAAGUCAUUGCUUACCAGAGGGCAUUCACCUCAAAAGAUGCAGUAAACAGCCAUGUGGACAGGAGGACUCCCUGACAGACACCAGUUAGCUUCUGUCUUUUAGAACUCCCAUGAGGCUUUUAGUCAGUCUCUUGGUGACAGAUUGAUUAUAUUGGCCUCUUCUAUCAAGGGAAGGACAAUGCUUCACACUAAAAUUGACAUCUUCUCCAUAGUAGACGUCAUUGCCUAUGAUGUCUCUUCUGGUUCUUCUGUGAAGGCUUACAGAAUGCUUGAUUUAUCCAAUGAGGUUUCUAACAUGGGCCCUUGUAUCAACUCGAAAUAAGGGUUAUCUGUAGCUUUGGAGCCUGUCCUGGAACUUGCUUUGUAAAUCAGGCUGGCCUGGAACUCACAAAUAGGUCUGUCUCUGCUUCCGAAGUGCUGGGAUUAAAAGUGAGCGCCACCACUGCCCGGCCAAUAAGAGUUCUUUGAUUAUGGAUGAGAUUUAAUAGCGGGUAGCUAAAAACAGACCCACUGGUUCUAUCUCAUCUGUCACUCCAACUGGAGCAGCUAUCCAGCUCAAAUUUUGGAAUGGCCAUGCAUAAACUUUUGCACCACCCUGGACAAAACAUUUAGGAUACUCUCCUUCCAGGGCUGCAAGCUAUGCCUUCCACCAACAGCCAGAGUGCACACAUCACAGACUAAAGUGAGAGGAUUAGGUGCGGGUGAGCUUUCUCACACGAUGGCCAUGCCAGUCUUCACAUCCUUGUAAUUUGAGGCUCUGCUAGAUCUGAGGUCUAGGAUCACAGAGAAAGGAUGCUUGAACCUGUGAAGGAAAUAAGAUCUUUUACUAAACCAAAU